This 253-nucleotide ribosomal RNA is filed under the name uncultured bacterium. RNAcentral's name for it is "partial 16S ribosomal RNA". It matches the Rfam family "Bacterial small subunit ribosomal RNA", at positions 524 to 776 of the family's 1533-position model. The record is from RNAcentral.
UACGUAGGUGGCAAGCGUUAUCCGGAUUUAUUGGGCGUAAAGGGAACGCAGGCGGUCUUUUAAGUCUGAUGUGAAAGCCUUCGGCUUAACCGGAGUAGUGCAUUGGUAACUGGGAGACUUGAGUGCAGAAGAGGAGAGUGGAACACCACGUGUAGCGGUGAAAUGCGUAGAUAUAUGGAAGAACACCAGUGGCGAAAGCGGCUCUCUGGUCUGUAACUGACGCUGAGGUUCGAAAGCGUGGGUAGCAAACAGG